GAUGAACGCUGGCGGCGUGCCUAAUACAUGCAAGUAGAACGCUGGAGCUUGGUGCUUGCACCGAGCGGAUGAGUUGCGAACGGGUGAGUAACGCGUAGGUAACCUGCCUCUUAGCGGGGGAUAACUAUUGGAAACGAUAGCUAAUACCGCAUAAAAGUCGAUAUCGCAUGAUAUUGAUUUGAAAGGUGCAAUUGCAUCACUAAGAGAUGGACCUGCGUUGUAUUAGCUAGUUGGUGAGGUAACGGCUCACCAAGGCAACGAUACAUAGCCGACCUGAGAGGGUGAUCGGCCACACUGGGACUGAGACACGGCCCAGACUCCUACGGGAGGCAGCAGUAGGGAAUCUUCGGCAAUGGGGGCAACCCUGACCGAGCAACGCCGCGUGAGUGAAGAAGGUUUUCGGAUCGUAAAGCUCUGUUGUAAGAGAAGAACGAGUGUGAGAGUGGAAAGUUCACACUGUGACGGUAACUUACCAGAAAGGGACGGCUAACUACGUGCCAGCAGCCGCGGUAAUACGUAGGUCCCGAGCGUUAUCCGGAUUUAUUGGGCGUAAAGCGAGCGCAGGCGGUUAGAUAAGUCUGAAGUUAAAGGCUGUGGCUUAACCAUAGUACGCUUUGGAAACUGUUUAACUUGAGUGCAGAAGGGGAGAGUGGAAUUCCAUGUGUAGCGGUGAAAUGCGUAGAUAUAUGGAGGAACACCGGUGGCGAAAGCGGCUCUCUGGUCUGUAACUGACGCUGAGGCUCGAAAGCGUGGGGAGCAAACAGG
RNAcentral lists this ribosomal RNA (765 nucleotides) under uncultured Streptococcus sp. Its description in RNAcentral is "bacterial SSU rRNA". It matches the Rfam family "Bacterial small subunit ribosomal RNA", at positions 28 to 776 of the family's 1533-position model. The record is from RNAcentral. Lineage: Bacteria; Bacillati; Bacillota; Bacilli; Lactobacillales; Streptococcaceae.